GGGUGCUUNCANUUCAGUAGCGCAGCUAACUCUUUNAANCAUUCCUCCUGGGGAGUACGGUCGCAAGAUUUAUACUCAAAAGGAAUUGACGGGGGNCCGCACAAGCGGUGGAGCAUGUGNUUUNAUUCGAAGCAACGCGCAGAACCUUACCAUCCUUUGACAUGGCGUGUUAUGGGGAGAGAUCCUCAGUCCUCUUCGGAGGCGCGCACACAGGUGCUGCANGGCUGUCGUCAGCUCGUGUCGUGAGAUGUUGGGUUAAGUCCCGCAACGAGCGCAACCCACGUCCUUAGUUGCCAUCAUUCAGUUGGGCACUCUAGGGAGACUGCCGGUGAUAAGCCGCGAGGAAGGUGUGGAUGACGUCAAGUCCUCAUGGCCCUUACGGGAUGGGCUACACACGUGCUACAAUGGCGGUGACAGUGGGAUGCGAAGGGGCGACCUGGAGCAAAUCCCCAAAAACCGUCUCAGUUCAGAUUGCACUCUGCAACUCGAGUGCAUGAAGGCGGAAUCGCUAGUAAUCGUGGAUCAGCAUGCCACGGUGAAUACGUUCCCGGGCCUUGUACACACCGCCCGUCACAANCAUGGGAGUUGGUCUUACCCGACGGCGCUCGCCAACCUCAAGGAGUCUGUUAU
RNAcentral lists this ribosomal RNA (630 nucleotides) under Methylobacterium sp. nac_7. RNAcentral describes it as "bacterial SSU rRNA". It matches the Rfam family "Bacterial small subunit ribosomal RNA", at positions 826 to 1456 of the family's 1533-position model. The record is from RNAcentral. Lineage: Bacteria; Pseudomonadati; Pseudomonadota; Alphaproteobacteria; Hyphomicrobiales; Methylobacteriaceae.